AUUGAACGCUGGCGGCAUGCCUUACACAUGCAAGUCGAACGGCAGCGGGGGAGAAGCUUGCUUUUCCUGCCGGCGAGUGGCGAACGGGUGAGUAAUACAUCGGAACGUGCCCUGUAGUGGGGGAUAACUAGUCGAAAGAUUAGCUAAUACCGCAUACGACCUGAGGGUGAAAGUGGGGGACCGCAAGGCCUCAUGCUAUAGGAGCGGCCGAUGUCUGAUUAGCUAGUUGGUGGGGUAAAGGCCUACCAAGGCGACGAUCAGUAGCUGGUCUGCGAGGACGAUCAGCCACACUGGGACUGAGACACGGCCCAGACUCCUACGGGAGGCAGCAAUGGGGAAUUUUGGACAAUGGGCGAAGGCCUGAUCCAGCAAUGCCGCGUGUGUGAAGAAGGCCUUCGGGUUGUAAAGCACUUUUGUCCGGAAAGAAAUGGCUCUGGUUAAUACCUGGGUUCGAUGACGGUACCGGAAGAAUAAGGACCGGCUAACUACGUGCCAGCCGCCGCCGUAA
This 508-nucleotide ribosomal RNA is filed under the name uncultured bacterium. RNAcentral describes it as "partial 16S ribosomal RNA". It matches the Rfam family "Bacterial small subunit ribosomal RNA", at positions 30 to 523 of the family's 1533-position model. The record is from RNAcentral.